RNAcentral lists this ribosomal RNA (468 nucleotides) under uncultured bacterium. RNAcentral's name for it is "partial 16S ribosomal RNA". It matches the Rfam family "Bacterial small subunit ribosomal RNA", at positions 28 to 507 of the family's 1533-position model. The record is from RNAcentral.
GACGAACGCUGGCGGCGUGCUUAACACAUGCAAGUCGAACGGAAAGGCCCUGCUUUUGUGGGGUGCUCGAGUGGCGAACGGGUGAGUAACACGUGAGUACCCUGCCCUUGACUUUGGGAUAACUUCAGGCAACUGGGGCUAAUACCGGCUAGGAGCUCCUGCUGCAUGGUGGGGGUUGGAAAGUUUCGGCGGUUGGGGAUGGACUCGCGCCUUAUCAGAUUGUUGGUGGGGUAGUGGCUUACCAAGGCUUUGCCGGGUGGCCGGGCUGGGCGGGUGACCGGCCAAGCCGCGACGGGGAUGCGACACAGCCCCCACUGGUACGGGAGGGAGGAGUAUGGUGUAUUGGAGGAGGGACCCUAGUGCAGUCCAGCCGCGUGGCGUGAGAGGUGAAGCGGGUUGGGUUGUGAUGCUCUCUUUGCCGAGGUGUUAGUGACGGUACUGGGUGAAGAAGCACCGGCUAACUACGUG